GGGGAUUUAGCUCAGCGGCAUAAGUACCUGCCUUGCAAGCAGGCGGUUGUAAGUUCAAGCCCCG
This 64-nucleotide transfer RNA is filed under the name Cavia porcellus (domestic guinea pig). It matches the Rfam family "tRNA". Rfam says of the family: Transfer RNA (tRNA) molecules are approximately 80 nucleotides in length. Their secondary structure includes four short double-helical elements and three loops (D, anti-codon, and T loops). Lineage: Eukaryota; Metazoa; Chordata; Mammalia; Rodentia; Caviidae. The record is from Rfam by way of RNAcentral.